Molecule: transfer RNA, 77 nt
Filed under: Sphaerodactylus townsendi
Lineage: Eukaryota; Metazoa; Chordata; Lepidosauria; Squamata; Sphaerodactylidae
Description: tRNA-Val
Source: RNAcentral
UACAGUGUGGCUCAGUGGCAGAACAUUUGCUUGACAUGCAGAGGGUCUUCAGUUCAAUCCCUGGCAUUUCCAGUUAA